UACGGAGGGUGCAAGCGUUACCCGGAUUUACUGGGUGUAAAGGGCGUGUAGGCGGCUUUUCAAGUCCGAUGCUAAAGACUGAGGCUCAACCUCAGGAGUGCGUUGGAUACUGUGAGGCUAGACGGUCGGAGAGGGUAGCGGAAUUCUCGGAGUAGCGGUGAAAUGCGCAGAUACCGAGAGGAACGCCAAUAGCGAAAGCAGCUACCUGGACGAUUAGUGACGCUGAGGCGCGAAAGCGUGGGGAGCAAACCGG
Molecule: ribosomal RNA, 253 nt
Filed under: uncultured bacterium
Lineage: Bacteria
Description: partial 16S ribosomal RNA
Rfam family: Bacterial small subunit ribosomal RNA
Source: RNAcentral